RNAcentral lists this ribosomal RNA (440 nucleotides) under uncultured bacterium. RNAcentral describes it as "partial 16S ribosomal RNA". It matches the Rfam family "Bacterial small subunit ribosomal RNA", at positions 339 to 795 of the family's 1533-position model. The record is from RNAcentral.
CUACGGGGUGCUCCAGUGGGGAAUAUUGGACAGUGGAGGAAACUCUGAUCCAGCCAUGCCGCGUGAAUGAUGAAGGCCCUCGGGUUGUAAAAUUCUUUUAGUAGGGAAGAUGAUGACGGUACCUACAGAAUAAGCUCCGGCUAACUUCGUGUCCAGCAGCCGCGGUAAUACGAAGGGAGCUAGCGUUGUUCGGAAUUACUGGGCGUAAAGGGUACGUAGGCGGCUUAGUUAGUCAGAUGUGAAAGCCCCGGGCUCAACCCGGGAACUGCGUUUGAUACUGCUAAGCUAGAAUUCGGUAGAGGUGAGUGGAAUUUCCAGUGUAGAGGUGAAAUUCGUAGAUAUUGGAAAGAACACCAGUGGCGAAGGCGGCUCACUGGACCGACAUUGACGCUGAGGUACGAAAGCGUGGGGAGCAAACAGGAUUAGAUACCCUGGUAGUC